This 387-nucleotide ribosomal RNA is filed under the name Thoopterus nigrescens (swift fruit bat). Its description in RNAcentral is "partial 12S ribosomal RNA". It matches the Rfam family "Bacterial small subunit ribosomal RNA", at positions 794 to 1382 of the family's 1533-position model. Lineage: Eukaryota; Metazoa; Chordata; Mammalia; Chiroptera; Pteropodidae. The record is from RNAcentral.
GCUUAGCCCUAAACCUAAAUAGUAACAUAACAAUACUAUUCGCCAGAGAACUACUAGCAACAGCUUAAAACUCAAAGGACUUGGCGGUGCUUUAUAUCCCUCUAGAGGAGCCUGUUCUGUAAUCGAUAAACCCCGAUAAACCUCACCAGCCCUUGCUAAUACAGCCUAUAUACCGCCAUCUUCAGCAAACCCUAAAAAGGAACCAUAGUAAGCAAAACCAUGGAACAUAAAAACGUUAGGUCAAGGUGUAGCCCAUGGACUGGGAAGAAAUGGGCUACAUUUUCUAGCAUAGAACAAUCACGGAAAUUCUCGUGAAACCGAGAGUGGAAGGAGGAUUUAGUAGUAAAUUAAGAAUAGAGAGCUUAAUUGAAUAAGGCCAUGAAGCAC